AAAAGAAGAUCAAGAAGAGCUUCAGAAUGAAGCUUUCUUGAUGGAGGGGAGCGGCAGACGGGUGAGUAACACGUGGGAACAUACCCAUCUCUGCGGAACAACUCUGGGAAACUGGAGCUAAUACCGCAUACGCCCUUCGGGGGAAAGAUUUAUCGGGGAUGGAUUGGCCCGCGUUGGAUUAGCUAGUUGGUGGGGGAAAGGACUACCAAGGAGACGGUCCAUAGCUGGUCUGAGAGGUUGAUCAGCCACAUUGGGACUGAGACACGGCCCAAACUCCUACGGGAGGCAGCAGUGGGGAAUAUUGGACAAUGGGCGCAAGCCUGAUCCAGCCAUGCCGCGUGAGUGAUGAAGGCCUUAGGGUUGUAAAGCUCUUUCACCGAUGAAGAUAAUGACGGUAGUCGGAGAAGAAGCCCCGGCUAACUUCGUGCCAGCCGCCGCAGUAA
RNAcentral lists this ribosomal RNA (443 nucleotides) under uncultured bacterium. Its description in RNAcentral is "partial 16S ribosomal RNA". It matches the Rfam family "Bacterial small subunit ribosomal RNA", at positions 48 to 523 of the family's 1533-position model. The record is from RNAcentral.